This 460-nucleotide ribosomal RNA is filed under the name uncultured bacterium. Its description in RNAcentral is "partial 16S ribosomal RNA". It matches the Rfam family "Bacterial small subunit ribosomal RNA", at positions 338 to 795 of the family's 1533-position model. The record is from RNAcentral.
CCUACGGGUGGCAGCAGUGAGGAAUAUUGGUCAAUGGGCGCGAGCCUGAACCAGCCAAGUAGCGUGAAGGAUGACUGCCCUACGGGUUGUAAACUGCUUUUAUAAAGGAAUAAAGUGCGGCACGUGUGCCGUUUUGUAUGUACUUUAUGAAUAAGGAUCGGCUAACUCCGUGCCAGCAGCCGCGGUAAUACGGAGGAUCCGAGCGUUAUCCGGAUUUAUUGGGUUUAAAGGGAGCGUAGAUGGCAUGUUAAGUUAGUUGUGAAAGUUUGCGGCUCAACCGUAGAACUGCAAUUGAUACUGGCAUGCUGGAGUGCAGAUGAGGUAGGCGGAAUUCGUGGUGUAGCGGUGAAAUGCUUAGAUAUCACGAAGAACUCCGAUUGCGAAGGCAGCUUACUAAACUGCCACUGACAUUGAUGCUCGAAAGUGUGGGUAUCAAACAGGAUUAGAUACCCUAGUAGUC